This 809-nucleotide ribosomal RNA is filed under the name uncultured bacterium. Its description in RNAcentral is "bacterial SSU rRNA". It matches the Rfam family "Bacterial small subunit ribosomal RNA", at positions 8 to 796 of the family's 1533-position model. The record is from RNAcentral.
AGAGUUUGAUCCUGGCUCAGAACGAACGUUAGCGGCGCCCUAACACAUGCAAGUCGAGCGAGAAAGGGCUUCGGCCCCGGUACAGCGGCGCACGGGUGAGUAACACGUAGGUAAUCUUCCCUCGAGCGGGGGAUAACCUUCCGAAAGGGGGCUAAUACCGCAUAAGACCACGGAGUCGAAAGACUUUGAGGUCAAAGCCGGCCACUAUACAUAAGCUGGCACUUGAGGAUGAGCCUGCGGCCCAUCAGGUAGUUGGUAGGGUAACGGCCUACCAAGCCAAAGACGGGUAGCUGGUCUGAGAGGAUGAUCAGCCACACUGGAACUGAGACACGGUCCAGACUCCUACGGGCGGCAGCAGUGGGGAAUCUUGCGCAAUGGGGGGCAACCCUGACGCAGCGACGCCGCGUGAGUGAUGAAGGCCUUCGGGGUUGUAAAGCUCUGUGGAGGGGAGACGAAUAAGUGUUGGCUAAUAUCCAGCAUGAUGACGGUAUCCCUUUAGCAAGCACCGGCUAACUCUGUGCCAGCAGCCGCGGUAAGACAGAGGGUGCAAACGUUGUUCGGAAUUACUGGGCGUAAAGCGCGUGUAGGCUGCCCUGCAAGUCAGGUGUGAAAGCCCUGGGCUCAACCUAGGAAGUGCACUUGAAACUGCGGGGAUUGAGUGCUGGAGAGGGAAGCGGAAUUCUCGGUGUAGAGGUGAAAUUCGUAGAUAUCGAGAGGAACACCGGUGGCGAAGGCGGCUUCCUGGACAGUAACUGACGCUGAGACGCGAAAGCGUGGGGAGCAAACAGGAUUAGAUACCCUAGUAGUCC